Helicoverpa armigera (cotton bollworm) is the source of this 672-nucleotide long non-coding RNA. RefSeq lists it as uncharacterized. NCBI's taxonomy places the organism in Eukaryota, Metazoa, Arthropoda, Insecta, Lepidoptera, Noctuidae. The transcript has 3 exons. The record is from RefSeq and is a predicted model, not a curated record.
UGUUUACUUAUUACGUUUUAACGGAAUCUCCGAUUUCAAAGUUUAGUUUCCUUGAAUGACUCCCAUUUGACAUUGAGACUUUACCACGUAAUACUACUUUACUUAGUAAUGUCAUUUCAAUCGUCACUCUAAUCUUCUUUACUUAGUGAAUAUUAUCAUAUCAUAAUUGAAUUAAAUGCUCAGUCGGUAGCCUAGUGCGCAAAACGUAUUCAACGCAAUUCACAAAUGUAUCAAAAGAGAAAAUCAGGCUUGUGCAUCUGCCCACAAACCUAAAUGCUCACAAAAAUGGACAGUUCCACUUACGUCGGAAGAGUAUGAUGCCCUCCUGCGCGUUGUACCCCGUGAGGAAGGGCACGUCGGCGCCGGGCAGGGUCUCCGCGGGCAGCCGCGUGAGGAAGGCGUCACCCCCCUCGGGCUCCAGCGUGGGCAGGAAGGGUAGCGCCACGGUGCUCUGCAUGUCCGCUGACUUGCCUGGCGCGCUGGACAGCCGAGCCCCUGCCUUUACUAGGAGCUCGCUCGGCGUGGCGCGGAGAAACUUCAUCAUUUUCUAGGCUGAGGAAGCCAAGCGCUCCGAGCCUGUAGUUGAGCGUGACCAGCACGACUCCCGCGCCGACGAGAUGGUCGGGACCAUAGAGGAACGCGUUGCCGGAGCCCAUGGCGAAAGCACCACCG